This 424-nucleotide ribosomal RNA is filed under the name uncultured bacterium. Its description in RNAcentral is "bacterial SSU rRNA". It matches the Rfam family "Bacterial small subunit ribosomal RNA", at positions 355 to 775 of the family's 1533-position model. The record is from RNAcentral.
UGGGGAAUAUUGGACAAUGGGCGGAAGCCUGAUCCAGCAACGCCGCGUGAGGGAUGACGGCCUUCGGGUUGUAAACCUCUUUCAGCACAGACGAAGCUUGUCUCACGUGUGGGGUGGGUGACGGUAUGUGCAGAAGAAGCACCGGCCAACUACGUGCCAGCAGCCGCGGUAAUACGUAGGGUGCGAGCGUUGUCCGGAAUUAUUGGGCGUAAAGGGCUCGUAGGCGGUUUGUCGCGUCGGGAGUGAAAUCCACUGGCUUAACUGGUGGCUUGCUUUCGAUACGGGCAGACUGGAGGUAUGCAGGGGAGAACGGAAUUCCUGGUGUAGCGGUGAAAUGCGCAGAUAUCAGGAGGAACACCGGUGGCGAAGGCGGUUCUCUGGGCAUGUCCUGACGCUGAGGAGCGAAAGUGUGGGGAGCGAACAG